Non-coding RNA from Streptomyces sp., 508 nucleotides. The record is from Rfam. Lineage: Bacteria; Bacillati; Actinomycetota; Actinomycetes; Kitasatosporales; Streptomycetaceae.
CGGGCGGUGCUCUCCCAGACGGCGUCGUCCGACAGGAGUGCCUGUUCGCCGAAGUAGGAGCCGUCGCCGAUCAGGCCGAGGCUCGUCUCGUCGCCGUGGGAGCCGGUGCCGAGGCGGGCGACGCGGCCGUGGGCGAGGAGGUGGACGGCGUCGGCGGGCUCCCCGGCGGUCGUGAUGACCGUGCCGGCGGGGUGGACGCGCUGCACGCAGCGGGCCGCCAGCUCGCGGAGCGCCUCGGCGUCCUCGAAGUCGCGCAGCGGCGGCAGCUCGCGCAGCUCGUCCGGGAUGACGCUGACCUGCGAACCGGUCUGGACGAAGGUGACGCGGCCGUCGCCCACGGAGUAGGACAGGCGGCGGUUGACCCGGUAGGUGCCGCCCUGCACAGAGACCCACGGCAGCGCCUUGAGCAGCCAGCGGGAGGUGAUCUCCUGCAUCUGCGGCGCGGACUUCGUGGUGGUGGCGAGAUUGCGCGCCGCCGCCGCCCCAAGAGCCUGCUGGGGCGUUUCCU